Molecule: ribosomal RNA, 460 nt
Filed under: uncultured bacterium
Lineage: Bacteria
Description: partial 16S ribosomal RNA
Rfam family: Bacterial small subunit ribosomal RNA
Source: RNAcentral
CCUACGGGGUGCAGCAGUGAGGAAUAUUGGUCAAUGGGCGCGAGCCUGAACCAGCAACGUAGCGUGAAGGAUGACUGCCCUACGGUUUUUAACCUCCUUUUAUAAAGGCAUAAAGUGAGGCACUUGUUCCUUUUUAUAUGUACUUUAUCAAUAUGCCUCGACUCACUCCAUUCCAGCAGCCGCGGUAAUACGGAGGAUCCGAGAGUUAUCCGGAUUUAUUGGGCUUAAAGGCAGCGUAGAUGGGAUGUUAAGUCAGUUGUGAAAGUUUGCGGCUCAACCGUAAAAUUGCAAUUGAUACUGGCAGCCUUGAGUACAGGUGAGGUAAGCGGAAUUCGGGGUGUAGCGGUGAAAUGCGUAGAUAUAACGAAGAACACCGAUGGCGAAGGCAGAUUACUAAACUGCCACUGACACUGAGGCUCGAAAGUGUGGGGAGCAAACAGGAUUAGAUACCCUGGUAGUC